RNAcentral lists this ribosomal RNA (239 nucleotides) under uncultured Lactobacillus sp. RNAcentral describes it as "partial 16S ribosomal RNA". It matches the Rfam family "Bacterial small subunit ribosomal RNA", at positions 125 to 355 of the family's 1533-position model. The record is from RNAcentral. Lineage: Bacteria; Bacillati; Bacillota; Bacilli; Lactobacillales; Lactobacillaceae.
CCGUAGCCCAAGAGAUCGGGAUAACACCUGGAAACAGAUGCUAAUACCGGAUAACAAUAGAUGAUGCCUAUCAACUNUUUAAAAGAUGGUUCUGCUAUCACUCUUGGAUGGACCUGCGGUGCAUUAGCUAGUUGGUAGGGUAACGGCCUACCAAGGCGAUGAUGCAUAGCCGAGUUGAGAGACUGAUCGGCCACAUUGGGACUGAGACACGGCCCAAACUCCUACGGGAGGCAGCAGCU